RNAcentral lists this transfer RNA (81 nucleotides) under Poronia punctata. RNAcentral describes it as "tRNA-Ser". It matches the Rfam family "tRNA". Rfam says of the family: Transfer RNA (tRNA) molecules are approximately 80 nucleotides in length. Their secondary structure includes four short double-helical elements and three loops (D, anti-codon, and T loops). Further hydrogen bonds mediate the characteristic L-shaped molecular structure. tRNAs have two regions of fundamental functional importance: the anti-codon, which is responsible for specific mRNA codon recognition, and the 3' end, to which the tRNAs corresponding amino acid is attached (by aminoacyl-tRNA synthetases). tRNAs cope with the degeneracy of the genetic code in two manners: having more than one tRNA (with a specific anti-codon) for a particular amino acid; and 'wobble' base-pairing, i.e. permitting non-standard base-pairing at the 3rd anti-codon position. The record is from RNAcentral. RNAcentral also lists the same sequence under 5 other names. Lineage: Eukaryota; Fungi; Ascomycota; Sordariomycetes; Xylariales; Xylariaceae.
GGCACUUUGGCGGAGUGGUUAACGCGCGGGCCUGCUAAGCCCGUUCCUUCGGGAGCGUGAGUUCGAAUCUCACAGGUGUCG